CCAGCACCUAAACCCAAGGGCCCAUUUCCCAUAGUAAUAUGGGUGCUGACAGCAAAAGGAUCUCCUUGCCUUUAGGGGCUGUGUCUAUGCCACUCAAGAUGAAUUUGAAGGUUCUACACAA
This is a small nucleolar RNA of Erinaceus europaeus (western European hedgehog), 121 nucleotides long. The record is from Ensembl. Lineage: Eukaryota; Metazoa; Chordata; Mammalia; Eulipotyphla; Erinaceidae.